RNAcentral lists this long non-coding RNA (423 nucleotides) under Olea europaea (common olive). RNAcentral describes it as "long non-coding RNA (OEUR_LNC013328)". The record is from RNAcentral. Lineage: Eukaryota; Viridiplantae; Streptophyta; Magnoliopsida; Lamiales; Oleaceae.
ACCAGGAAGAAGAUAUGAACAAUCAUAUUUCAGGGUGCGCUGUAGAACAUGAGUAAGAGAAAGAAGAGCAGCGUAAGCCAUUAUUGUUCUCUCCUAUCACAGCUUGAAAGAUAGAAAAUUGAAGCAAAAAUGAAGCAAUCAGAUCUGUUCCACCCAGCACAUUAUGCAAAUAGAUAUUGUUUUAAGAAUGUUGAUAGCAAUUUGCAGUUUCUUAAUUGAAUAAAAGGCCGGCAAUGUAGAUUUUGAGAAGAAAAGCUUAUCAACUUGCAAUAAAAAUAUUUGUUUAUUAAAUGGAUGUAGACUUCGUACCACAGGAUCUGUUCCACCCAACACACUAUGCAAGUGUAUAUUUCUUAAGAAUGUUGAUAGCAAUUUGCAGUUUCUUAAUUGAAUAAAAGGCCGGCAAUGUAGAUUUCAAGAAGC